Long non-coding RNA from Dinoponera quadriceps, 754 nucleotides. RefSeq lists it as uncharacterized. Lineage: Eukaryota; Metazoa; Arthropoda; Insecta; Hymenoptera; Formicidae. The record is from RefSeq and is a predicted model, not a curated record. The transcript is spliced from 4 exons.
UCCGCAUUUUGCCUUUUAUACUGCGGAAUCGAGAGAGCGGAACAGAUAGCGCGUCAUUGCGUCCUACAUUGUCCUAUUUUGAAAUUAGUGUUUAAAGGCUGGAGGAGAGUAACAGUAGAAUAACAUUAAAAGCUAGAGUAAAAUAACAAUAGAAUAACAGUAAAUGAUCGACAUGAUGGAGUCACAGGAUUUUGUGCUAAAAGAAGUAAAUUCUGAUAAAGCACUUAUAUUGACAAUUCUAAUCGUCUAUUUAGAGUUAUAGCAGAUAUGGCUCAGGAAAAAGUGGCCAACGAUAAUGUUAGUGACAAUGAUGAACAAUCUUCCUUGUCUGUUGGAAAGAAGUAAAAACGAAACAAGGAGGAUAAAACUUGUGCUGACUAGGAUGAACUGCUAAUAAAUGCUGUUAUGAAAAGUCUACAGAAUCAUACCAUCUCAGUGAAAAACAGAAGUCUAUUAACUAUUAAAAAAGAGAAAUUCAACGUUGAGAUAAUUAAAAGCUACUGGAGAAACCUUUGUGACUCUUAUAAGAAAAGCAGACAUAAGACGACCGAGUAUAUAUCUAGUAGUUCAAAAACAUCAGUAAUCCAAAAAAAGAUGGCUUUUGAUAUUACGACCAAAUGGAAUUCUUGUGUAACUCGAUGAUUUCCAGGCUCUAAAUGAAUAAAUUCUACUAAGUUAAUUUCAAUACCAACAGUUUACAAUACAUAUAAAAUAGUCAAUUAUUUUUAAAUACAUACAAGGGUUGCUACUUAUA